This 301-nucleotide ribosomal RNA is filed under the name uncultured bacterium. RNAcentral's name for it is "partial 16S ribosomal RNA". It matches the Rfam family "Bacterial small subunit ribosomal RNA", at positions 509 to 807 of the family's 1533-position model. The record is from RNAcentral.
CAGUCGCCGCGGUAAUACGUAGGUGGCAAGCGUUGUCCGGAAUUAUUGGGCGUAAAGGGCUCGCAGGCGGUUUCUUAAGUCUGAUGUGAAAGCCCCCGGCUCAACCGGGGAGGGUCAUUGGAAACUGGGAAACUUGAGUGCAGAAGAGGAGAGUGGAAUUCCACGUGUAGCGGUAAAAUGCGUAGAGAUGUGGAGGAACACCAGUGGCGAAGGCGACUCUCUGGUCUGUAACUGACGCUGAGGAGCGAAAGCGUGGGGAGCGAACAGGAUUAGAGACCCCGGUAGUCCCUGUCUCUUAUAC